GCACUGCACUGCAUGCAAAGCAUCCGUGAUGGACAGGCACUUUUUUCUGAGUGGAGAGAGAAGUCAGACGUGGGCUCCCAGGGCAGCAUGGAACUCUGUGAGGCCCUGGACCAGCUGCUGAAACUUAGGCUGCUCCUCCAGAUCCAAGGCCCAGCAACAGACCAUCACAGGGAACAGUUCAUCAGGGCAGUUGAUUGGCUGCGAUAUUCCAUAACUAUCUUUCAGGUUGGUAUUGUUCAAAUGUGAAGUUGCUAUUUAAGCUUGAGGGUGCAUCUAUGGGCCGAAUUCAAGAGCAACCCACAGUAUAUGUUCCAAAUGGGCUCGCUGAUCCUGCUUGCUUCUCCCCAGGGCUCCAGACUCAGGCUGACGUUCCUACUGUGCAUUUCCAUGAUGAUCUAUACAGCACCAUGCUCAUCAGUGUCUCUUCUGUUCAAACCAUUCCAGAGGUUGGAUUUCCCUACAGUAUCAGAAUCUGAAUACUUGGUUGGUUUGUUUGCAAGAGUAUUCAUAAGCUACCUAUACGCUGGC
RNAcentral lists this long non-coding RNA (528 nucleotides) under Mus musculus (house mouse). RNAcentral describes it as "predicted gene 28806". The record is from RNAcentral. Lineage: Eukaryota; Metazoa; Chordata; Mammalia; Rodentia; Muridae.